AUUGAACGCUGGCGGCAGGCCUAACACAUGCAAGUCGAGCGGUUGAAGGGAGCUUGCUCCUGGAUUCAGCGGCGGACGGGUGAGUAAUGCCUAGGAAUCUGCCUGGUAGUGGGGGAUAACGUCCGGAAACGGGCGCUAAUACCGCAUACGCCCUGAGGGAGAAAGUGGGGGAUCUUCGGACCUCACGCUAUCAGAUGAGCCUAGGUCGGAUUAGCUAGUUGGUGGGGUAAAGGCCUACCAAGGCGACGAUCCGUAACUGGUCUGAGAGGAUGAUCAGUCACACUGGAACUGAGACACGGUCCAGACUCCUACGGGAGGCAGCAGUGGGGAAUAUUGGACAAUGGGCGAAAGCCUGAUCCAGCCAUGCCGCGUGUGUGAAGAAGGUCUUCGGAUUGUAAAGCACUUUAAGUUGGGAGGAAGGGCAGUAAGUUAAUACCUUGCUGUUUUGACGUUACCAACAGAAUAAGCACCGGCUAACUUCGU
This 483-nucleotide ribosomal RNA is filed under the name uncultured bacterium. RNAcentral describes it as "partial 16S ribosomal RNA". It matches the Rfam family "Bacterial small subunit ribosomal RNA", at positions 30 to 506 of the family's 1533-position model. The record is from RNAcentral.